GACGAACGCUGGCGGCGUGCUUAACACAUGCAAGUCGAACGGAAAGGCCCUGCUUUCGUGGGGUGCUCGAGUGGCGAACGGGUGAGUAACACGGGAGUAACCUGCCCUUGACUUUGGGAUAACUUCAGGAAACUGGGGCUAAUACCGGAUAGGAGCUCCUGCUGCAUGGUGGGGGUUGGAAAGUUUCGGCGGUUGGGGAUGGACUCGCGGCUUAUCAGCUUGUUGGUGGGGUAGUGGCUUACCAAGGCUUUGACGGGUAGCCGGCCUGGGAGGGUGACCGGCCACAUUGGGACUGAGAUACGGCCCAGACUCCUACGGGAGGAAGCAGUGGGGAAUAUUGCACAAGGGGCGGAGGCCGGAUGCAGCAACGCCGCGUGCGGGAUGACGGCCUUCGGGUUGUAACCCGCUUUCGCCUGUGACGAAGCGUGAGUGACGGUAAUGGGUAAAGAAGCACCGGCUAACUACGUG
RNAcentral lists this ribosomal RNA (468 nucleotides) under uncultured bacterium. Its description in RNAcentral is "partial 16S ribosomal RNA". It matches the Rfam family "Bacterial small subunit ribosomal RNA", at positions 28 to 507 of the family's 1533-position model. The record is from RNAcentral.